CGAAAGCAAAACAAUAACUUUUAUCCGCAUUUCCAAGCCAUAACUAACGUUUGUUUAUCAAUAGCUUGGCAUAAAGAAACAAUAAUCGAUGGCGUUUUAACACAAACCACACUGUUUAUUGUCAUUUUUUAAAAAUCCGGAUGUGGGUCAUAAGACGCAAUUAUUGGAACAUGAAUCGUGACACUUUGUUACUUCAGGUCGACGAUCUUUAAUGUCCAUCAUGAUUAAUAAGAAGGUAAUUAACGGUUGGAUGGUUCGAAGACGGCAAAAAGUUAACGGACAGACCGAGGAAUCAUGUUGUUUGCGGUGAACUUGCUGGAUAAAAAAAUCUGGGAAUUUCGACUUGUCCAAUCGACAAUAAAUCACUAGUAGAGACUAGUUUUGUGUGC
Long non-coding RNA from Dendroctonus ponderosae (mountain pine beetle), 389 nucleotides. RefSeq lists it as uncharacterized. The transcript has 2 exons. NCBI's taxonomy places the organism in Eukaryota, Metazoa, Arthropoda, Insecta, Coleoptera, Curculionidae. The record is from RefSeq and is a predicted model, not a curated record.